CCUACGGGGUGCAGCAGUGAGGAAUAUUGGUCAAUGGACGAGAGUCUGAACCAGCCAAGUAGCGUGAAGGAUGACUGCCCUAUGGGUUGUAAACUUCUUUUAUAUGGGAAUAAAACGUUCCACGUGUGGGAUUUUGUAUGUACCAUAUGAAUAAGGAUCGGCGAACUCAGUGCCAGCAGCCGCGGUAAUACGGAGGAUCCGAGCGUUAUCCGGAUUUAUUGGGUUUAAAGGGAGCGUAGGUGGAUUGUUAAGUCAGUUGUGAAAGUUUGCGGCUCAACCGUAAAAUUGCAGUUGAAACUGGCAGUCUUGAGUACAGUAGAGGUGGGCGGAAUUCGUGGUGUAGCGGUGAAAUGCUUAGAUAUCACGAAGAACUCCGAUUGCGAAGGCAGUUCACUGGACUGCAACUGACACUGAGGCUCGAAAGUGUGGGUAUCAAACAGGAUUAGAUACCCCUGUAGUC
This 460-nucleotide ribosomal RNA is filed under the name uncultured bacterium. RNAcentral describes it as "partial 16S ribosomal RNA". It matches the Rfam family "Bacterial small subunit ribosomal RNA", at positions 338 to 795 of the family's 1533-position model. The record is from RNAcentral.